Molecule: long non-coding RNA, 1214 nt
Filed under: Marmota monax (woodchuck)
Lineage: Eukaryota; Metazoa; Chordata; Mammalia; Rodentia; Sciuridae
Source: RNAcentral
GGGACCCUCCCUGGGAACACUCACAGCAACACCGGGAGGCCUGGGACCCUGUGAGUGGCUGAGAGCCUCCCUGGGAGGAACUGGGGUGCCUGAGGAUCUAUGGGAGCAAACAUCAAUCUCCAGGUGACCAGGGAAUGCCAUGCAGCCCAGGCCCCUUCCAGGCUCCUGCCUGUCCUGUCCUAGCCCCAGGGGAAUGGCCAUUCUGGUGUCCAAGGGCAAUGGCCUAUGCUUUGUGCAUACCCAGUCUACUCCAUGUGUUCAGGCAACGCCAAGUCGAUGGAGAAUUCCAUCAACUGAACAUGAAGCCACUUUCAGCUAAUGCCCAUCAGGGAUGGGAUUGAUGAGGCUGAAAUUUUUACUUGAUGGGCAACAAGUGCUUUCGUGGGCACGUGCUCGGCAGCUGAGCAAGGCAGCGAAGCUGGGCUGGGGGAGCUGGAGCCCUGACUCCAGGCUGACACCGCCCAGGCCUAGGAGUGGAGGCUGCCAGCGCUGACUUUCCAUCUCCUAACACCACUUGGCACUCCACGGCUGGUCACCCGAGGUUGCGAGGCAGGAGGCACAGCCGGCAGGCUUCAGGGCCCCGCUUUCAACUUCCAGGCCCCUUGAGGAAUUGGGAAUGUGACUAAGAGAUCAGGGCCUGCCCUGGUGAAGUGGGGGGAAACAGAGGUGUCCCCUGUUGCCCUUCCUGACUCAUGGGAUCCUUAUGACCCAGACCUGGAGGGAUCUCUAGGCCACCCAGGGAGCCUGCACCUACGGGAGCCGCCCUUACCCUGCGGUUCUACCAAGGAGCCCAGGGUUUCCUCCCUGGGAGGAACUAGGGUGCCUGGGAUCGACAGGAGCAAUCCUCAAUCUCCAGGUGACCAGGAAAUGCCAUGCACCCCAGCCCCUUCCAGGCUCCUGCCUGUCCCCUUCUAGCCCCAGGGGAAUGGCCAUUCUGGUGUCCAAGGGCAAUGGCCUAUGCUCUGUGCAUACCCAGUCUACUCCAUGUGUCCUGGGGCUUGGCCCUCUCCAUCGUCUUUCACAUAGACCUCUUCUGCCAACUAAUUGCAUUUCUUCUUGUCUGCUGCAUACCUUGAACUUGCCAUUGUCACCCGGGUAUGACCCCCUCUUACACUCACAAAUCUGCAGUCCGAGGCGAUGCUGUCCAGCCUGCUCUGCAUCUGCUCGCGGCCCCCAGGAGGAGGCGAGGGAGAAAGUCAAGAGCAGUCCUGUCC